CCAUGUCAAAUUUGUAUGGAGUUGGAAUAUUUGCUGCUAGAGGCGCUGUUCCAACUCCAUACAAAGUUGACUUA
This is a non-coding RNA of Bombyx mori (domestic silkworm), 74 nucleotides long. The record is from Rfam. NCBI's taxonomy places the organism in Eukaryota, Metazoa, Arthropoda, Insecta, Lepidoptera, Bombycidae.